CCUACGGGAGGCAGCAGUAGGGAAUAUUGCUCAAUGGGGGAAACCCUGAAGCAGCAACGCCGCGUGGAGGAUGAAGGUUUUCGGAUUGUAAACUCCUUUUGUUAGAGAAGAUAAUGACGGUAUCUAACGAAUAAGCACCGGCUAACUCCGUCGCAGCAGCCGCGGUAAUACGGAGGGUGCAAGCGUUACUCGGAAUCACUGGGCGUAAAGCGCGCGUAGGCGGGAUAGCAAGUCAGAUGUGAAAUCCUAUGGCUUAACCAUAGAACUGCCAUUGAAACUGUUAUUCUAGAGUAUGGGAGAGGUAGGUGGAAUUCUUGGUGUAGGGGUAAAAUCCGUAGAGAUCAAGAGGAAUACUCAUUGCGAAGGCGACCUGCUAGAACAUAACUGACGCUGAUGCGCGAAAGCGUGGGGAGCAAACAGGAUUAGAUACCCGAGUAGUC
Molecule: ribosomal RNA, 440 nt
Filed under: uncultured bacterium
Lineage: Bacteria
Description: partial 16S ribosomal RNA
Rfam family: Bacterial small subunit ribosomal RNA
Source: RNAcentral